AUGGAUAGCGAACACCACGAGAUAUUCCAAUUUGCUAUUUCUCUCCUCUCUGAGUCUCCCACUUUCCUGCACUCUCUCGUUCCACCGCCAGCUGUUCCGCUGGCCUUCCGCGUGACCGAUUAUGCCGUACGGAGAGUGUCCGAGAAGCAAAAUAUUCUCCUUCACAAUUAUUUUCUAAACAAAUAUGAAAUAGGAAAAAUGAAUGCCGAAAUUGUAUUAGUUGGUGAUGUAAGUUUUUUUUCUGAAAUUUGAAUUGUUUUAAUUCAAAAAAAUGGUGCAAACACGCUCCACUGCACACCUGUAAAUUUCGCGGGUCUCGAAGCGAUUAUUAAAUGUUUAAUACAAGUAUUAACUGAAUUUAAUUUUCUUAAGAAAAUCGUUUCAAGACCCAAAAAAAUUAGUUGAAAGUGCGGUAGAGCGUAUUUUCAUCAAUUUUUGCUGCAAAAACAUCUAUAGCCCAUUUGUUUUUGUAAAAAUAACCUAAAUUCGCUAGAAAAACCGCGAAAACUAAAAAAACAGUUGAAACUAAUUUUGGUAAUAUUUUUUUUAAAAAUAAGCAAAUACGCUCCACUGCACUUACAACUAAAUUUUCUGGGUCUUGACACGAUUUUUCAAUUUUUCAACGUCCAAUUUAAUGAAAAGUCACAAAAAACUCAAAUUUUCGCGCGCUUGCACACCCCAAAAUUUUGAAUUCCAGGCGUUUUUCAAUGAAAGAGCCCAAUAUCACGGAUUUCUGCGUCUCAACUACCGAAUUCUUCAUCGCUAUGAGCAAAUUCAUGAGAUUUUCCUUUUUUCGCUAAACAAUGCGAGAACAAUGGCCCAGCGAGAGUAUGAAAUUAGGAAAUUAGAAGGUAUUAAUGCAAUUAUUAUUAGCACUCGAAACAUGAUUCUAUCCUGCGAGAAAAAGAAUGAAUGCAAGCUGUUCAGCGAUUGA
RNA transcript from Caenorhabditis elegans, 934 nucleotides. It is a transcript of the gene named Non-coding transcript of protein-coding gene Y44E3A.1b, with no coding region annotated. The record is from RefSeq and is marked reviewed. The transcript is spliced from 4 exons. NCBI's taxonomy places the organism in Eukaryota, Metazoa, Nematoda, Chromadorea, Rhabditida, Rhabditidae.